AGCGUACACGGUGGAUGCCUAGGCAGUCAGAGGCGAUGAAGGGCGUGCUAAUCUGCGAAAAGCGUCGGUAAGCUGAUAUGAAGCGUUAUAACCGACGAUACCCGAAUGGGGAAACCCAGUGCAAUACGUUGCACUAUCGUUAGAUGAAUACAUAGUCUAACGAGGCGAACCGGGGGAACUGAAACAUCUAAGUACCCCGAGGAAAGAAAUCAACCGAGAUUCCCCCAGUAGCGGCGAGCGAACGGGGAGGAGCCCAGAGUCUGAAUCAGUUUGUGUGUUAGUGGAAGCGUCUGGAAAGUCGCACGGUACAGGGUGAUAGUCCCGUACACCAAAAUGCACAGGCUGUGAACUCGAUGAGUAGGGCGGGACACGUGACAUCCUGUCUGAAUAUGGGGGGACCAUCCUCCAAGGCUAAAUACUCCUGACUGACCGAUAGUGAACCAGUACCGUGAGGGAAAGGCGAAAAGAACCCCGGCGAGGGGAGUGAAAUAGAACCUGAAACCGUGUACGUACAAGCAGUGGGAGCACCUUCGUGGUGUGACUGCGUACCUUUUGUAUAAUGGGUCAGCGACUUAUAUUUUGUAGCAAGGUUAACCGAAUAGGGGAGCCGUAGGGAAACCGAGUCUUAACUGGGCGUCUAGUUGCAAGGUAUAGACCCGAAACCCGGUGAUCUAGCCAUGGGCAGGUUGAAGGUUGGGUAACACUAACUGGAGGACCGAACCGACUAAUGUUGAAAAAUUAGCGGAUGACUUGUGGCUGGGGGUGAAAGGCCAAUCAAACCGGGAGAUAGCUGGUUCUCCCCGAAAGCUAUUUAGGUAGCGCCUCGUGAACUCAUCUUCGGGGGUAGAGCACUGUUUCGGCUAGGGGGCCAUCCCGGCUUACCAAACCGAUGCAAACUCCGAAUACCGAAGAAUGUUAUCACGGGAGACACACGGCGGGUGCUAACGUCCGUCGUGAAGAGGGAAACAACCCAGACCGCCAGCUAAGGUCCCAAAGUCAUGGUUAAGUGGGAAACGAUGUGGGAAGGCACAGACAGCCAGGAUGUUGGCUUAGAAGCAGCCAUCAUUUAAAGAAAGCGUAAUAGCUCACUGGUCGAGUCGGCCUGCGCGGAAGAUGUAACGGGGCUAAACCAUGCACCGAAGCUGCGGCAGCGACACUUAGGUGUUGUUGGGUAGGGGAGCGUUCUGUAAGCCGUUGAAGGUGACCUGUGAGGGUUGCUGGAGGUAUCAGAAGUGCGAAUGCUGACAUAAGUAACGAUAAUGCGGGUGAAAACCCGCACGCCGGAAGACCAAGGGUUCCUGUCCAACGUUAAUCGGGGCAGGGUGAGUCGACCCCUAAGGCGAGGCUGAAAGCGUAGUCGAUGGGAAACAGGUUAAUAUUCCUGUACUUGGUGUUACUGCGAAGGGGGGACGGAGAAGGCUAGGCUGGCCGGGCGACGGUUGUCCCGGUUUAAGCGUGUAGGGGGAGUGACCAGGUAAAUCCGGUUGCUUAUCAACCCUGAGGCGUGAUGACGAUGCACCACGGUGCAGAAGCAGUUGAUGCCAUGCUUCCAGGAAAAGCCUCUAAGCAUCAGGUAACAUUAAAUCGUACCCCAAACCGACACAGGUGGUCAGGUAGAGAAUACUCAGGCGCUUGAGAGAACUCGGGUGAAGGAACUAGGCAAAAUGGUGCCGUAACUUCGGGAGAAGGCACGCUGGCGUUAGGUGAAAGGACUAGCUCCUGGAGCUGAAGCCAGUCGCAGAUACCAGCUGGCUGCAACUGUUUAAUAAAAACACAGCACUGUGCAAACACGAAAGUGGACGUAUACGGUGUGACGCCUGCCCGGUGCUGGAAGGUUAAUUGAUGGGGUCAGCCGCAAGGCGAAGCUCUUGAUCGAAGCCCCAGUAAACGGCGGCCGUAACUAUAACGGUCCUAAGGUAGCGAAAUUCCUUGUCGGGUAAGUUCCGACCUGCACGAAUGGCGUAAUGAUGGCCAGGCUGUCUCCACCCGAGACUCAGUGAAAUUGAACUCGCUGUGAAGAUGCAGUGUACCCGCGGCAAGACGGAAAGACCCCGUGAACCUUUACUAUAGCUUGACACUGAACAUUGAGCCUUGAUGUGUAGGAUAGGUGGGAGGCCUUGAAGUGUGGACGCCAGUCUGCAUGGAGCCAACCUUGAAAUACCACCCUUUAAUGUUUGAUGUUCUAACUCGGCCCCAUGAUCUGGGGUGAGGACAGUGUCUGGUGGGUAGUUUGACUGGGGCGGUCUCCUCCCAAAGAGUAACGGAGGAGCACGAAGGUUAGCUAAUCACGGUCGGACAUCGUGAGGUUAGUGCAAAGGCAUAAGCUAGCUUGACUGCGAGAGUGACGGCUCGAGCAGGUACGAAAGUAGGUCUUAGUGAUCCGGUGGUUCUGAAUGGAAGGGCCAUCGCUCAACGGAUAAAAGGUACUCCGGGGAUAACAGGCUGAUACCGCCCAAGAGUUCAUAUCGACGGCGGUGUUUGGCACCUCGAUGUCGGCUCAUCACAUCCUGGGGCUGAAGUAGGUCCCAAGGGUAUGGCUGUUCGCCAUUUAAAGUGGUACGCGAGCUGGGUUUAGAACGUCGUGAGACAGUUCGGUCCCUAUCUGCCGUGGGCGUUGGAAGAUUGAGAGGGGCUGCUCCUAGUACGAGAGGACCGGAGUGGACGAAUCACUGGUGUUCGGGUUGUCAUGCCAAUGGCAUUGCCCGGUAGCUAAAUUCGGAAGAGAUAACCGCUGAAAGCAUCUAAGCGGGAAACUUGCCUCGAGAUGAGUCUUCCCUGGGGCUUAAAGCCCCCUGAAGGAACGUUAAAGACUAUGACGUUGAUAGGCUGGGUGUGUAAGUGCAGCGAUGUAUUGAGCUAACCAGUACUAAUGAUCCGUGAGGCUUAACC
RNAcentral lists this ribosomal RNA (2889 nucleotides) under Yersinia pestis. RNAcentral's name for it is "bacterial LSU rRNA". It matches the Rfam family "Bacterial large subunit ribosomal RNA". Lineage: Bacteria; Pseudomonadati; Pseudomonadota; Gammaproteobacteria; Enterobacterales; Yersiniaceae. The record is from RNAcentral.